RNAcentral lists this ribosomal RNA (643 nucleotides) under Papiliotrema laurentii. RNAcentral's name for it is "LSU rRNA". It matches the Rfam family "Eukaryotic large subunit ribosomal RNA", at positions 36 to 668 of the family's 3401-position model. Lineage: Eukaryota; Fungi; Basidiomycota; Tremellomycetes; Tremellales; Rhynchogastremaceae. The record is from RNAcentral.
UUGCAUAUCAAUAAGCGGAGGAAAAGAAACUAACAAGGAUUCCCCUAGUAACGGCGAGUGAACCGGGAAAAGCUCAAAUUUGAAAUCUGGCGUCCUCAGGGCGUCCGAGUUGUAAUCUAUAGAGGCGUUUUCCGUGCCGGACCGUGUCCAAGUCCCUUGGAACAGGGUAUCAAAGAGGGUGACAAUCCCGUACUUGACACGACUACCGGUGCUCUGUGAUACGUCUUCUACGAGUCGAGUUGUUUGGGAAUGCAGCUCAAAAUGGGUGGUGAGUUCCAUCUAAAGCUAAAUAUUGGCGAGAGACCGAUAGCGAACAAGUACCGUGAGGGAAAGAUGAAAAGCACUUUGGAAAGAGAGUUAAACAGUACGUGAAAUUGUUGAAAGGGAAACGAUUGAAGUCAGUCGUGACCGAGAGGCUCAGCCGGCUCUGCCGGUGUAUUCCCCUCGGUCGGGUCAACAUCAGUUUUGUCCGGUGGAUAAGGGCGGUAGGAAGGUGGCACCCACGGGUGUGUUAUAGCCUGCCGUCGCAUACACUGGGUGAGACUGAGGAAUGCAGCUCGCCUUUAUGGCCGGGGUUCGCCCACGUCCGAGCUUAGGAUGUUGACAUAAUGGCUUUAAACGACCCGUCUUGAAACACGGACCA